This 253-nucleotide ribosomal RNA is filed under the name uncultured bacterium. RNAcentral's name for it is "partial 16S ribosomal RNA". It matches the Rfam family "Bacterial small subunit ribosomal RNA", at positions 524 to 776 of the family's 1533-position model. The record is from RNAcentral.
UACGUAGGGUGCAAGCGUUAAUCGGAAUUACUGGGCGUAAAGCGUGCGCAGGCGGCGCCGCAAGUCAGGCGUGAAAUCCCCGAGCUUAACUUGGGAAUGGCGCUUGAAACUACGGUGCUGGAGUGUGGCAGAGGGAGGUGGAAUUCCACGUGUAGCAGUGAAAUGCGUAGAUAUGUGGAGGAACACCAAUGGCGAAGGCAGCCCCCUGGGUCAACACUGACGCUCAUGCACGAAAGCGUGGGGAGCAAACAGG